Molecule: ribosomal RNA, 175 nt
Filed under: uncultured soil bacterium
Lineage: Bacteria
Description: partial 16S ribosomal RNA
Rfam family: Bacterial small subunit ribosomal RNA
Source: RNAcentral
ACUCCUACGGGAGGCAGCAGUGGGGAAUUUUCCGCAAUGGGCGCAAGCCUGACGGAGCAAGACCGCGUGAGGGAGGAAGGCCUUUGGGUUGUAAACCUCUUUUCUCAGGGAAGAAGACAGUGACGGUACCUGAGGAAUCAGCCUCGGCUAACUCCGUGCCAGCAGCCGCGGUAAU